UUCCGGUUGAUCCUGCCAGACCUGACUGCUAUCGGAUUGAUACUAAGCCAUGCGAGUCAUUGUAGCAAUACAAGGCAUACGGCUCAGUAACGCGUAGUCAACCUAACCUAUGGACGGGAAUAACCUCGGGAAACUGAGAAUAAUGCCCGAUAGAACACUAUACCUGGAAUGGUUUGUGUUCCAAAUGAUUUAUCGCCGUAGGAUGGGACUGCGGCCUAUCAGUUUGUUGGUGAGGUAAUGGCCCACCAAGACUAUUACAGGUACGGGCUCUGAGAGGAGUAGCCCGGAGAUGGGUACUGAGACACGGACCCAGGCCCUAUGGGGCGCAGCAGGCGAGAAAACUUUGCAAUGUGCGAAAGCACGACAAGGUUAAUCCGAGUGAUUUGUGCUAAACGAAUCUUUUGUUAGUUCUAGAAAUACUAACGAAUAAGGGGUGGGCAAGUUCUGGUGUCAGCCGCCGCGGUAAAACCAGCACCUCAAGUGGUCAGGAUGAUUAUUGGGCCUAAAGCAUCCGUAGCCGGCUCUGUAAGUUUUCGGUUAAAUCUGUACGCUUAACGUACAGGCUGCCGGGAAUACUGCAGAGCUAGGGAGUGGGAGAGGUAGACGGUACUCGGUAGGAAGGGGUAAAAUCCUUUAAUCUAUUGAUGACCACCUGUGGCGAAGGCGGUCUACCAGAACACGUCCGACGGUGAGGGAUGAAAGCUGGGGGAGCAAACCGGAUUAGAUACCCGGGUAGUCCCAGCUGUAAACUAUGCAAACUCAGUGAUGCAUUGACUUGUGGUCAAUGCAGUGCUGCAGGGAAGCCGUUAAGUUUGCCGCCUGGGAAGUACGUACGCAAGUAUGAAACUUAAAGGAAUUGGCGGGGGAGCACCACAAGGGGUGAAGCCUGCGGUUCAAUUGGAUUCAACGCCGGA
RNAcentral lists this ribosomal RNA (914 nucleotides) under uncultured crenarchaeote. RNAcentral describes it as "bacterial SSU rRNA". It matches the Rfam family "Archaeal small subunit ribosomal RNA", at positions 1 to 922 of the family's 1478-position model. The record is from RNAcentral. Lineage: Archaea; Thermoproteati; Thermoproteota.